AUACGUAGGGGGCGAGCGUUGUCCGGAAUGAUUGGGCGUAAAGGGCGCGUAGGCGGCGCGGUAAGUCUGGAGUGAAAGUCCUGCUUUCAAGGUGGGAAUUGCUUUGGAUACUGCCGCGCUUGAGUGCAGGAGAGGUUAUCGGAAUUCCCGGUGUAGCGGUGAAAUGCGCAGAUAUUAGGAAGAACACCGGUGGCGAAGGCGGCUAUCUGGACAGUAACGGACGCUGAGGCGCGAAAGCGUGGGGAGCAAACAGGAUUAGAUACCCUGGUAGUCCACGCCGUAAACGAUGGGCGCUCGUCGUCGGCGGCAGACAGUCGGCGGCCAAGCGAAAGCGAUAAGCGCCCCACCUGGGGAGUACGGUCGCAAGGCUGAAACUCAAAUGAAUUGGCGGGG
This 393-nucleotide ribosomal RNA is filed under the name uncultured bacterium. Its description in RNAcentral is "partial 16S ribosomal RNA". It matches the Rfam family "Bacterial small subunit ribosomal RNA", at positions 523 to 918 of the family's 1533-position model. The record is from RNAcentral.